This 879-nucleotide long non-coding RNA is filed under the name Physcomitrium patens. RNAcentral describes it as "long non-coding RNA (PPAT_LNC011609)". Lineage: Eukaryota; Viridiplantae; Streptophyta; Bryopsida; Funariales; Funariaceae. The record is from RNAcentral.
UGUGAGUUCUUUUUUCUUGACUUCCUCUUGAGUACGCUGGCAUUCAAAGAUUGCAGAGUCAGGAUGGAGUCUACGAUUAUAUUCUUCUUAAAAGGACAACUUCUAGUAACUCGAUGAAGGUACGUACAAGCCAAAACAGGAGCCAAGGUAACGGGAAAAAAUUUAGGCAAAGUCCUCUGCUUCCCAUAUUUCAUCAGCAGACCCAUGCUUUGAAUAGGUUGUUGCUUGAGAUUUUAUUCCAUAUUAAGAUUUGAAAAUCUAAAACUAUAAAAAAACAAUUAUAAAUUAUAAAGUUGAUUUGGGGUUCCGAUUUUUGCUUUAAGUUUUAGGUUUGAAUUGUUAGCAUGGGCGUUUAGUUCAGCAGGUUUCACACUGACUAUCGGUUCUUCUCAUUAAUUAAACUAAAAUAACAAUCACAAUCCAAACUGACACGUACAAAGAAAAUCAACCGUAUUGAGCAAAAAAAAGAAGAGAUCAAGGUAACACACGAAGAAAGUGAUCGUACUUGGUGAAACUCUACAAGCAGGUCGUUAGCAGUGAGAUAACGCUCAACAGAUAAUGCUGCCAUACAGCCUGAUCCGGCAGCUGUGACAGCUUGCCUCCACUCAUGAUCCUGAAACAAUCAGCUCGGUAGAAGGCUUCUUAAUACUCAUCAACAUCAGACUAAUUACAGAUUCACAAUGUGACUGGCAUUUAAUCACUUUCAUGCUACAUUGGACGUCUUUUUGGCAGAUAGACUAAAUAACAACGACGAGCAACAUGGAAAACGCAAAGCAAUGUAGAGCAUCAAAUUGAACGAACGCAAGAAACUAACGACCAGUCAAGUACCUGAAGAUCUCCAGCGGCAUAAACUCCUUCGACCGAUGUAUUGGUCGUUCC